UGGGGAAUAUUGCACAAUGGGCGCAAGCCUGAUGCAGCCAUGCCGCGUGUGUGAAGAAGGCCUUCGGGUUGUAAAGCACUUUCAGCGGGGAGGAAGGCGAUAAGGUUAAUAACCUUGGCGAUUGACGUUACCCGCAGAAGAAGCACCGGCUAACUCCGUGCCAGCAGCCGCGGUAAUACGGAGGGUGCAAGCGCUAAUCGGAAUUACUGGGCGUAAAGCGCACGCAGGCGGUCUGUCAAGUCGGAUGUGAAAUACCCGGGCUCAACCUGGGAACUGCAUACGAAACUGGCAGGCUAGAGUCGUGUAGAGGGGGGUAGAAUUCCAGGUGUAGCGGUGAAAUGCGUAGAGAUCUGGAGGAAUACCGGUGGCGAAGGCGGCCCCCUGGACAAAGACUGACGCUCAGGUGCGAAAGCGUGGGGAGCAAACAGG
This 429-nucleotide ribosomal RNA is filed under the name Chloroflexota bacterium. RNAcentral's name for it is "Chloroflexi bacterium partial 16S ribosomal RNA". It matches the Rfam family "Bacterial small subunit ribosomal RNA", at positions 355 to 776 of the family's 1533-position model. Lineage: Bacteria; Bacillati; Chloroflexota. The record is from RNAcentral.